This 253-nucleotide ribosomal RNA is filed under the name uncultured bacterium. Its description in RNAcentral is "partial 16S ribosomal RNA". It matches the Rfam family "Bacterial small subunit ribosomal RNA", at positions 524 to 776 of the family's 1533-position model. The record is from RNAcentral.
UACAGAGGGUGCAAGCGUUGUUCGGAAUUAUUGGGCGUAAAGGGCGCGUAGGCGGUGCCACAAGUCACCUGUGAAAUCUCCGGGCUUAACUCGGAGCCUGCAGGCGAAACUGUGGUGCUGGAGUGUGGGAGAGGUGCGUGGAAUUCCCGGUGUAGCGGUGAAAUGCGUAGAUAUCAGGAGGAACACCAGUGGCGAAGGCGGCCGGCUGGGGGUGCCCUGACGCUGAGGCGCGAAAGCGUGGGGAGCGAACCGG